This 274-nucleotide ribosomal RNA is filed under the name uncultured bacterium. Its description in RNAcentral is "partial 16S ribosomal RNA". It matches the Rfam family "Bacterial small subunit ribosomal RNA", at positions 523 to 796 of the family's 1533-position model. The record is from RNAcentral.
AUACGGAGGAUGCAAGCGUUACUCGGAAUCACCGGGCGUAAAGCGCGCGCAGGCGGCCUGAUAAGUUGGAUGUGAAAGCCUACGGCUCAACCGUAGAACUGCAUCCAAAACUGUCAGGCUAGAGUGUGGGAGAGGAAGAUGGAAUUAGUUGUGUAGGGGUAAAAUCCGUAGAGAUAACUAGGAAUACCAAAAGCGAAGGCAAUCUUCUGGAACACUACUGACGCUGAGGCGCGAAGGCGUGGGGAGCAAACAGGAGUAGAAACCCCAGUAGUCC